This 274-nucleotide ribosomal RNA is filed under the name uncultured bacterium. RNAcentral's name for it is "partial 16S ribosomal RNA". It matches the Rfam family "Bacterial small subunit ribosomal RNA", at positions 523 to 796 of the family's 1533-position model. The record is from RNAcentral.
AUACGGAAGGUGCAAGCGUUAUUCGGAAUCACUUGGCGUAAAGGACGCGUAGGCGGGUUGGCAAGUUAGAUGUGAAAUCCUACAGCUUAACUGUAGAACUGCAUUUGAAACUGCUAACCUAGAGUAUGGGAGGGGGGGAUGGAAUUAGUGGUGUAGGGGUAAAAUCCGUAGAUAUCACUAGGAAUACCGAAAGCGAAGGCGAUCUCCUGGAACAUAACUGACGCUAAGGCGUGAAAGCGUGGGGAGCAAACAGGAUUAGAAACCCUAGUAGUCC